Molecule: ribosomal RNA, 253 nt
Filed under: uncultured bacterium
Lineage: Bacteria
Description: partial 16S ribosomal RNA
Rfam family: Bacterial small subunit ribosomal RNA
Source: RNAcentral
UACGAAGGGGGCUAGCGUUGCUCGGAAUCACUGGGCGUAAAGGGUGCGUAGGCGGGUCUUUAAGUCGGGGGUGAAAUCCUGGAGCUCAACUCCAGAACUGCCUUCGAUACUGAAGAGCUCGAGUCCGGGAGAGGUGAGUGGAACUCCUAGUGUAGAGGUGGAAUUCGUAGAUAUUAGGAAGAACACCAGUGGCGAAGGCGGCUCACUGGCCCGGUACUGACGCUGAGGAGCGAAAGCGUGGGGAGCAAACAGG